This 690-nucleotide ribosomal RNA is filed under the name Triticum aestivum (bread wheat). RNAcentral's name for it is "partial small subunit ribosomal RNA". Lineage: Eukaryota; Viridiplantae; Streptophyta; Magnoliopsida; Poales; Poaceae. The record is from RNAcentral.
AUGUCGGAGGAGCCCGUUGACAUCGAAAUCCAACUCAAUGUAAGGGGCACAACGCCGUCUGAAGAUAGAGCGUUGGUCAGCUAUGUCUAUUAUUAUGAUGGUGAUUAUGAAUAUAGUUUAAGCCCGAUCAUCAUUGAAAAGCACUCUUGCACAAUAGAGUUGAGCGCUCAACAGCUUAAACGUUCAGUCCAAGCCACCAUCUUUGGUGCUCAUGUUGUUGUCGUUGACAAGUCAAAUCCUUUUGAACAUGGAGUCCGGGUUGUCUGCUCCUCACUAUCUCAGCAGCACGACACUGAAGACGCCGAUGAGUCCCCAUCUAUGGAACUUGUGUUGCUUGAUUCGAAAGUAGCAAGAAAGCGUGUGGUGGCACGUGGUUACCUCAAUCUGUCAAGGCAAGUUGUUUCUGUGAAAUUGAGUGGAAAGCUUAAAGUUCUCAUUCAAGCAUACACACCAUCCGGAGGAAUCGCGACACAGGGUCAUGUCUUCGUCAUGCCCAAGACAUGCAACACCAGCGAACAUGCAUGUGACCUUGACGGCUUCAAGGUGGAGUUUACCGUUGCUUGGUCCUAUCUUGUUGAAGAUGAGGAGCAUAUCUUGAUGAAUGGGCGCGUGGAUCCUUUCGCAUCGUGUCCUCUACAUCCCUCUUUUGCCCUCGAAGGGAAACCUUCUAGUGUUAGUUUGUUGAUGUAA